Molecule: ribosomal RNA, 672 nt
Filed under: Inocybe glabrescens
Lineage: Eukaryota; Fungi; Basidiomycota; Agaricomycetes; Agaricales; Inocybaceae
Description: eukaryotic LSU rRNA
Rfam family: Eukaryotic large subunit ribosomal RNA
Source: RNAcentral
UUGACCUCAAAUCAGGUAGGACUACCCGCUGAACUUAAGCAUAUCAAUAAGCGGAGGAAAAGAAACUAACAAGGAUUCCCCUAGUAACUGCGAGUGAAGCGGGAAAAGCUCAAAUUUGAAAUCUGGCGGUUUCUUGACCGUCCGAGUUGUAAUCUAGAGAAGUGUUGCCUGUGCUGGACCRUGUACAAGUCUCCUGGAAUGGAGCAUCAUAGAGGGUGAGAAUCCCGUCUUUGACAUGGACUGCCUGUACGUGAUGGUGCGCUUUCAAAGAGUCGAGUUGUUUGGGAAUGCAGCUCAAAAUGGGUGGUAAAUGCCAUCUAAAGCUAAAUAUUGGCGAGAGACCGAUAGCGAACAAGUACCGUGAGGGAAAGAUGAAAAGAACUUUGGAAAGAGAGUUAAACAGUAYGUGAAAUUGCUGAAAGGGAAACGCUUGAAGUCAGUCGCGUCGGCUAGAAAUCAGCCUUGCUUUUGCUUGGUGCACUUUCUGGUUCGAUGGGUCAGCAUCAAUUUUGACCACUGGAWAAAGUCUCUGGGAAUGUGGCAUCUCUGGAUGUGUUAUAGCCCAUUGUCGCAUACGGUGGUUGGGAUUGAGGAGCUCAGCACGCCGCAAGGCCGGGUUUCGACCACGUUUCGUGCUUAGGAUGCUGGCAUAAUGGCUUUAAUCGACCCGUC